RNAcentral lists this ribosomal RNA (355 nucleotides) under uncultured soil bacterium. Its description in RNAcentral is "bacterial SSU rRNA". It matches the Rfam family "Bacterial small subunit ribosomal RNA", at positions 1031 to 1392 of the family's 1533-position model. The record is from RNAcentral.
GACACAGGUGCUGCAUGGCUGUCGUCAGCUCGUGUCGUGAGAUGUUGGGUUAAGUCCCGCAACGAGCGCAACCCUUAUCAUUAGUUGCUACGCAAGGGCACUCUAAUGAGACUGCCGGUGACAAACCGGAGGAAGGUGGGGAUGACGUCAAGUCCUCAUGGCCCUUAUGGGUAGGGCUUCACACGUCAUACAAUGGUCGGUACAGAGGGUUGCCAAGCCGCGAGGUGGAGCCAAUCCCAGAAAGCCGAUCGUAGUCCGGAUUGUUCUCUGCAACUCGAGAGCAUGAAGUCGGAAUCGCUAGUAAUCGCGGAUCAGCAUGUCGCGGUGAAUACGUUCCCGGGUCUUGGACACACCG